AUACGAAGGGGGCUAGCGUUGUUCGGAAUUACUGGGCGUAAAGCGCAUGUAGGCGGACAUUUAAGUCAGGGGUGAAAUCCCGGGGCUCAACCUCGGAACUGCCUUUGACUACUGGGUGUCUAGAGUGUGGAAGAGGUAAGUGGAAUUCCAGGUGUAGGAGUGAAAUCCGUAGAGAUCUGGAGGAACACCAGUGGCGAAGGCGGCUUACUGGUCCAUUACUGACGCUGAGGUGCGAAAGCGUGGGGAGC
RNAcentral lists this ribosomal RNA (248 nucleotides) under uncultured bacterium. RNAcentral describes it as "partial 16S ribosomal RNA". It matches the Rfam family "Bacterial small subunit ribosomal RNA", at positions 523 to 769 of the family's 1533-position model. The record is from RNAcentral.